RNAcentral lists this long non-coding RNA (21503 nucleotides) under Panax ginseng (ginseng). RNAcentral's name for it is "long non-coding RNA (PGIN_LNC011400)". Lineage: Eukaryota; Viridiplantae; Streptophyta; Magnoliopsida; Apiales; Araliaceae. The record is from RNAcentral.
GAAGACUAUUGCUAAAAAGAUUAUAUACCAAAAUCCAAAAGGCUUGAAGCCUUGAUAUUAUUAUUACAUAUUCAUAAAGAAAAAGAAGCUUCUAAUCAUUAUAGAAAGGAAAACAAUAAGAAGAAAUUAGGAUAGUACGUAGAAAAGAAGAAUGCAAAAGUGAAAUAUAAUCAUCAAAUAAAAGCUAAAGCAUAAAGCUAUACAUGAAAGAUAAGCCAUUUGCUGUAUCUCACUAAAAUUGGAACCAAACCAAACCAACCAACAAAGCCUAAAGGGGGCUCAGUUGCUGCUGGAUGCCACCAUAUGAAAGCUCUGUGCACUGUUCCGUUGUUCCAAUAUGAGAGCUCUGUGCACUGUUCUAGCUCACCUUACAUAAUUUAUCUCAAAACUCACCCCCAUACAAAUCAUGUAAAAAUAUGAAAAUAUACAAAUUUUCAUAUCCAUUCGUCGACCACGACUUUAUAUUAAUAAUACAUCUGUUAGAGAGAUCAACUCCCAGCCUGCGUGUCGACACUGUAUUGAACAAUUGACCAAAGUUAACUUCAUGCUAACCACUUUCCUGUUAACAAUACCAGUUCAAAGAAGAAUCAAACUCAGACGAUACUAAUCUUUGUUCACUUUUACCAAACUCAAAACACAAUGAACUGCAUGAUAAAAGCAAAUCAAAUAACAGUCUCAAUUCCUCCAACAAUAUCAGUUCAAACAAAUGCAUUCAAUUUUUACAACCCCCCUACAACGUACCAAGUAAAUUUUAGGAAGCUGAAUUUCUUUGACCCAAGGACACUAGAUUAAUUAUCAUGCCAACAAUUAAAAAGACAAAAUGAACCAAUUAAAUAUAUCCCCCAACUUGAGACGAACAAGCCAUGUGCUGAUAGCCAAGUCUCAAAGAAUUUGAAGGACCACAACUAAACUUUGUGAAGAAUUGGUGGGGAUCAAAUCAAUCACUAGGCACUGAAAAAUCUUCAUCAGGACCACUUUCAUUAACACAAGAUGGCAACCAUAUAUCAUUAUAUAUCUUGCAACAUUAACACUCAAAAGAGAGGGGGAGGGGGGAAAAUGAGUACAGAGCUGAAUAGCUAGGCUUCUUAGUAAAAACCAGCAACAAAAGAUGAUACUAAAUUCCUGCUGCAGUACUAGUAAGAGAAUAGGACUCGAAGGUCUUCAAAAAUUUAGAAGUCUUCUCUUCAUAAACACCCCAACUCAUUAGGUGAAAAAUUAGGUCCCCCAUUUGACAAAUUAGGUCAAAACUCAAAACCUAUAAUCCAUUUAGUUAUUUCAAAGAGCACUGAAACUAAGGAUAAACUAGGGCAAUAUAUCUCUAGCAGAAACACAUACCUCACACCAAGCAUCAUGUUAAUGCCUCACAAGAGGACCUGCAGAACCCCUAGAAAUGCCUAUUCACUCCUCAAACUACGGAUGGUACUCAAUUUGCGAGGAAUGACUAAAACAUUCUGUAUGUUUGACUUCACUAACACCAUACAAGAACUUGGCCUUCAGGAUUAUACGUUCUACUCGAUUACCUGUUUGAAACUGAACCUUAUGUCAGGUCCUGAAUCUAGAUUUUCAGUUACAGACUAGUGUCAUUCUAUUUCUCAUGAAAGAAAGAAAGAGGAAAAAUUACUUUCACCGAGUACGUAAAAGAUAUACAAGGACUUCAUAGUACACUUGUCUUACCAAAAAAACACAUUUUUUUGUUACAAACACAUAAUUCUGGCUCCAUGCCCGUUCAUGGCAGAAAGGAAAUUUUCGCCAAGCAAUUUGGAGUAUUUGUUAUAUUUAACUCGAGAAGUAGGUUAAAGGAGUGAAACUUCAUCCUAAAAUUCAUAAAAGUACGCUUAACAUAACCAUUUGUUCAGGGGCCUUGCUCUAUCAGAACUCUUCUAAGCAUCCACAACCUACAAAGGUCUUUCAAGUCAUCCACGUCUCCUCUGAAGUCAUCUCAUCAAAAUAAAUAUCAUCUAGUCUCGUGAAAUCAUCCUUAAAAGCUUUAAAAAAAAUCAUUUCACCCUUAAAAGCUUUAAAAAAAAUCUAUAAUCCCCGCGCCCUUCACAUCCACAACCACAACAUAAACAAAUAAGGAGGGGUGAGGGUGAGGGUGAGGGUGAGGGUGAGGGUGAGGUUGAGGGUGAGGGUGAGGGUGAGGGUGAGGGGGAGGGGGAGGGGGAGGGGGGGAGAGAGAGACAGAGAGAAGAAAGUAGACUAAAAGAAGUAACAUAUAUUGUAAAGAAUGGUGAAGUACACAUAAAAUAACACAACGAAUACUAUAAAGAAUGGGACUGUACACAUAAAAUCACACGAGAAAUCUUAUACAGAAGAAAUAAAAAGAAUUUAAAAGAAAAUGAAGAAUACAAUUCCUAACCAAGAAUCGGCCCAAAGAAUCUUACAUGUCAAAAAGAGCAAUUGUUGCAGCAAUAUAGCUUCUACAAAGAAAGAUUGUUUGUUUCCCCAUAAUAAUUUUACAAACAACGAUGAAACUUCAUUUUCAAGCCAUAUUUAUGAUACAAUGCCACCUACGAUUUUUCUUGCAGAUGGUGACCUUAAAAUGAGAUUGAUUUCAUGGUAGGUAAAAAAUCUCGAUCCCCAGCUAACAUGCAAGCAUCAGUCCCUAAUAAUUACCAGGAGACCUGGGUUCCUUUGAGAGGGCCACAAACUCGUCUCUGAUUCAUUUAUGUAUUGAUGCAGGCCAUGCACGUGUCUAUUGUCUAAGUUCUAUCAUGAAACUACCAGUAGAAGCAAUUCAGGAAACUUAGAUAAUUAUAACCACAAAGUGAUAGAUUCAUUUUCGUCGUAAGAGACGAGAUAUCCUUGUAUUUGCUCAACCUCCUCCUCAGACAUUAAGCCCGAUACUAGGAAAAUGCUAGCAAAUAGUUGCAAAAGUUCUUUCCAAGUAACUUUUAAACGUACUUGUAGGGGGUGGAGAGGGAAAGAGAGUGAAAAAUAUUCAAAAGAGAGCAGCUUCCAUAAAGAAGCAAAGAAAAAGAUCCUAUCUCACAACUAAGCAAACAAUAAAUAUCAAUCUCUAAAGAGUCUACCAUUAUACUCAGUUCAAGCUACUCGAGGAACUUCAGCUUUACAUAUGUGCAACACAAUAAGGGUUUCAGAAAAAAGAAGUUUGUCGCAUAGUUUUUGUAUUAGAUAAAACAAAUUUAUCAGCUUUGGUCUUCGUGAUUAGUGAAUUUAGAAUUUCCAACAAUCACCUACAAGGGGGAAAACACUGUAAAAAUUGAAGAAAUCCAUGCUCAAUAUCAGGCUAUUAGCAAAUUCUGAAUCAGAUAUAAGUCAGCACAUAUGAAAUUGACAUAUAUAGGAAGAUUCUAGUAUUUAGCAAUCUAUAUAGGAAGCUUCUGCCAGUAUCCAUUAUGCUUCAUUGAAAAACAUUGUAAAAAUUGAAGAAAUCCAUGCUCCAUAUCAGGCUAUUUGCAAAUUCUGAAUCAGAUAUUAGUCAGCUCUAGGAAGAUUAUCAAUCUAUAUAGGAAUAUUCUGCCAGUAUACAUUAUGCUUCGUUUCAUUAAUGUAUGCCGAUACAUUAUAAUAUAACUAAAGAAAAGGUUAGACUUCACAUUCUGCAGAUACAAAAAACAAUUAAAUAUUACAAUAACAUGAAGCACAAAACUAUGAAUUUGCCUUCUUAAAGGAAUUAAAGUCUCUUACUUUUAAUCAAAUUUAAGUAAAAACAAAUCAGAUCUAACAACCAAAAAGCAGAAGAUAUGCAAUAACAAUUCACAAACAUAUUUUGAAAUUAAAAACAUAUAAGAACAGGGAAAAAAUUGAUUUGGUGAAGUAAAACAGAAAUUACAUCUAUGAGAAAAACAGAACUAGUGACCGACCGACCACCUACGGAUCGAUCGACCGAUGAGAAAGUCAAAAUCAGACGGUGAGAACAGACUAAUUUUAAUCUCUUCCUAAGAAUCCGCAGUCGGGAAUGUAAAGGAUCUGGUAAAAAGUCUAAUACGAAAUUGUCUUGGCAAGCAAAAAUACGACAUAGUCCAGGAGGUAUUGAUGAAUGGGUAGUAUACCCAUAAAUUGGAUAUAUUUAGACUUAAAUUAUUGCAUUCUUAAGUUAUUUAGUAGCAUUUUUAUUGUGUUUAUAUCUUGUUUUGCAGAUUUGGAAGAUGGAGGGGCAAUUAUGGGAAAUUCAAGCAUUUAAUGGCAAUCUGGUAAUUUUAGAGAAGUCCAGCGUCGGGGCGCUGGAAAUUGCACUACCUACAGCGCCGGGGCGCUGAGCCUCGGCUGGCCCUGACUGGAUUAGCGCGUUUGACUUCUGGUUGGACUUGACUUGUCUAUGGGGGGCUAAUGUAAAACCUAAUUGGAUGAGGAUUGGGGGAGGCUAUAAAAAGAAACUAAGUGCUGAAAUAAAGGAGGAAAUUUUUGAUUAUUCUUCGGAGGAUUCAACGAGUUCUUCCAUUGAAGGUUACACAAGAUUACUUGGAGAUUAAGGAUUGGCUACAGAGUUUCUUCUUUUUAUCCUUAUUUUCAAUUUAUAAUUCUUUAAGGAUGAUUUGUCAAUAAUUAAUGGUUCUUAUUUCCGUGAUGAACUAAUUCUUUAAUUAAGAUUUCAAUUGAACUUUUUAUGAUUAUAAAUUAGUUAUUCUCUCAUUCUAAUUAUUUAUGUUGAAGUGGAUUGUUUAUCAUGUUUUGAUUCUAUUGAUUAAUUAUUUGGCCAAUAAUUACCGUGUUACUCUAGAAGGAAUUGGGAAAGGAAUUCUAGGGUUAGAACUAGACAUGAUAACAUGUGACUUAGUUAUUUGCACGGUAAAUAAUUAGGUUUGUGAAUUGAAUGGAAAUAUCUGUUCACCGCAUGUAACAUAUAAGGAAUUGGGAUUGGAAAGAGUUUAAUUCAAUUGUUUUGCAUAGGAAUAUAGCAAGAUUAAUCUGGAUUAAAUAGAAGUCAAUUGAUCACUUGGAAGAGGGCUUUUGGCAUUUGAGAAUUCCUGUUAACAAUUCAGUAGACAUAAUAAUUGGGAUGAUUAGAUAAUUGAUUUAUAGUUCAUAAUUGGGGAUAUUGAAGUCUUAAUAUUUACCUAUCGGAAGUCAUUCACUCAAGUAUUAGCUUAGUUAUUCGCUUAUCUUAGUACAAUAUCUUUAAGUGUUUAAUUUUGAGUUAAUAAUUCAGAAAAUCACAAUUUAUCAUUGUUUGAAUAAAAUUGAAUUGAUAUAGUAUUAGUAGUUGGGAUUUAUUAAUUAGAAUUCCCUGUGGGAACGAUACUCAACUUAUCACUUUAUUACUUGUUGACCGCGUAUACUUGCGUGUUGUGUGUAACUAGAUUUUACUCAACAAGUUUUUGGCGCCGUUGCCGGGGAAUUUUUAUUAAUAUUAAUUUCAUAUUAGUUAUAAUCAAUUCGGUUUUAAUUUGAACGCUACUUAAUCUUUCUUCUUGGAUUGGCAGGAAUUCGUGUAUGCACACUAGAUCGAAAGCUAGAAAGGAACUUCUUACGUAUACAGACAACCUUGAGAAGAAGUUCCAGACAGUGCAGUUGAAUAGUGAGGUUAUACAUUUGGAAGAAGAACUGACAACCCAAGAAAUACUCGUGAACAUGGCAGAGAACGAACAGAAAUCACUUAGGGAUUACGCCCUGCCAAAUGUCACGGAUUUACAGUCAAGUAUUAAGAGACCGGCAAUCAAUGCGAACAGUUUCGAGAUAAAACCGGGAUCAAUUCAGAUGCUACAGAAUACAUGCCAGUUUGGGGGUAAUUCGAUAGACGAUCCUAAUGAACAUAUCUUGAGUUUCUUGGAAGUUUGCGAUACCUUCAAAUUUAACAAUGUAUCGGAAGACGCUAUAAGGUUGAGGAUGUUCCCGUUUACUUUAAAAGAUAAAGCACGAAGCUGGUUACACUCCUUGCCUCCUGGUUCAAUCACCACAUGGGAUGACUUAGCUCAAAAAUUUUUAGCUAAGUUCUUCCCACCAGCGAAGUCGGCAAAACUACGGAACGACAUUCAUACUUUCGCACAACUUGAGUCAGAAUCGUUAUAUGAGGCGUGGGAAAGGUUUAAGGAUAUGCUCCGUAAGUGCCCUCAUCAUGGAAUUCCGCAGUGGAUGCAAUUAGGGAUAUUUUGUGAUGGUUUGCACGCAUCCACGAGGUCUAGUAUUGAUGCAGCAGCGGGAGGAGCGAUUAUGUCCAAAAAUUUUGAUGAGGCGUAUCAAUUGUUAGAAACAAUGGCCACCAACAACUAUCAGUGGCCCAUGACGAGGACCAACCAUCCAAAAGCAUCAGGAAAAUAUGAAGUGGACGCGCUAACAGCAUUAACAGCACAAGUGACUGCAAUAGCUAAGCAUAUAGAAAUAUGGCAUCCACAAGCCACACAGCAGGUAGCGAUGGUUUGUGAGUUGUGUGCUGGGGGUCAUGCUACGGAUCAAUGUGCCAUAAAUUCGGAAUCAGCACAGUUCGUAGGAAAUUAUAAUCGCUCAACUCAACCGUAUCCUACCCAAAAUGCCUAUAAUCCAGGUUGGAAGAAUCAUCCAGGGUUCUCAUGGAGUAACAAUCAAGCUGCAGCUCAACCACCUAGACAACAACACACCUCCGGAUUCCAAAAUCAACCUCAACAACCAGAGAGGGUAUCAAGUUGGGAAGCAGCCUUGGAAAAAUUUAUUAGAGCCUCUGACAAAAAGAACGAGGAACAAGACAAGAAAUUGAAUCAAUUAGAUAUGACGUUGCAAAGCCAUGGGGCAUCGUUAAAGAAUCUGGAAAAUCAAUUGGGACAAAUAGCACAUGCAUUGAAUACCCGUCCACUAGGAACGCUUCCGAGUGAUACAGAAAUAAAUCCGGGCAGAAAUGAGCACUGCAAAGCAGUAAUCUUACGAAGUGGGAAGGAGCUGCAAACAGUUAAGGAUAAGGACAAGGGGGAUAACGCAACAACCGAAACAGAAGAAGUUGUGGAAACCGGGAAAGAUAAAGAGGAAAUAGGAGAGGAAAAUGCACCGGGGUCAUCUACAACAAUGCCACCCAUACCAUAUCCGCAGAGAUUUCAGAAAUCCAAGUUAGAUAAGCAGUUUUUAAGAUUUUUGGAUAUUUUUAAAAAAUUGCAUAUCAACAUCCCAUUCGCCGAAGCUUUAGAACAAAUGCCGAGUUACGCUAAGUUCAUGAAGGAUGUGCUAUCAAAGAAAAGGAAACUGGGGGAUUUUGAAACAGUGGCGCUAACCGAAGAAUGUAGCGCAAUUAUUCAGAACAAGUUACCUCCUAAGUUGAAAGAUCCAGGUAGCUUUUCUAUUCCAUGCGACAUUGGUAAUCAGUUUUCGGGGAAAGCGCUGUGUGAUUUGGGGGCCAGUAUUAAUUUGAUGCCAUUAUCAGUCUACCGUCAAUUCGGGCUCCAAGCACCUAAACCGACAAAUAUCAGUUUACUGUUAGCAGACCGAUCAGUUACAUAUCCACGAGGUAUCGUUGAAGACGUAUUAGUAAGGGUGGAUAAAUUCAUCUUUCCAGCAGACUUCGUUAUCUUGGAUUGUGAAGCAGAUACGGAACUGCCCAUCAUUCUCGGACGACCAUUCUUAGCAACGGGGAGAACGUUAAUCGACGUGCAAAAAGGAGAAUUAACGAUGAGAGUUGACGAUCAACAGGUCACUUUCAAUGUGUUUAAAGCAAUGUCGUAUCCAAAGGAAAAAGGUGAGUGUUUGCGGGUGGAUGUAAUGGAGGAGAUAGUGAAUCACAAGAUUUGCUGUAAUUACUCAGAGGAUCCGAUAGAAUCCAUGAUGGUUAGAACAGACAACGAUAGUGCGGAUGCAGAUAAUGAGCAGGUCAAAUGGCUAGACACACCAUCAUUCUACCGGAAAAAUAAUCAACCAUUCGACACCCUUGAAAGGCCUAAAACGGAAGAAAAAAAGUGCAAACCCUCGAUAGAAGUGCCACCGGUGUUGGAAUUAAAGCCACUCCCCUCUCAUCUUGAAUAUGCUUACUUAGGGAAAGACUCGACUCUACCAGUUAUUGUUUCGACAACGUUAACUGACACCCAAAAAGAAAAAUUGCUACGAGUUCUGCGCGAGUUCAAAACAGCGAUUGGGUGGACUAUAGCGGACAUUCGAGGUAUUAGCCCCUCUUUCUGUAUGCACAAGAUUUUAAUGGAAGAGGGAUCAAAACCAACCAUUGAGAUGCAACGAAGGUUAAAUCCCAUUAUGAAAGAGGUGGUGAAGAAGGAAAUUAUAAAAUGGUUGGAUGCCGGUAUUAUCUACCCAAUCUCAGACAGUUCAUGGGUAAGUCCUGUACAGUGUGUACCGAAAAAAGGGGGCAUAACUGUGGUAAAAAAUGAAGCGCAUGAGCUUAUCCCGACUAGAACUGUUACAGGCUGGAGAGUAUGUAUGGAUUACCGCAAGUUGAAUAAAGCCACACGCAAGGAUCACUUUCCCUUGCCGUUCAUUGAUCAGAUGUUGGACAGGUUAGCGGGACAUCAAUUCUACUGUCUGUUAGAUGGAUAUUCUGGGUACAAUCAAAUUGCCAUAGCACCGGAAGAUCAAGAAAAGACCACGUUCACAUGUCCAUACGGUACGUUUGCAUUCCGGCGUAUGUCCUUUGGUUUAUGUAAUGCGCCGGCGACCUUUCAACGCUGUAUGAUGGCAAUCUUUUCCGAUAUGGUCGAGCAGAAUUUAGAGGUGUUCAUGGAUGAUUUCUCCGUGUUCGGCGAUAGUUUUGACUCGUGUUUGAAUAAUCUGAUCUUGGUGUUAAAAAGAUGUGUGGAGACUAACCUGGUACUUAAUUGGGAAAAAUGUCAUUUUAUGGUACAAGAAGGGGUUAUUCUGGGACAUAAGGUUUCCGCAUCCGGAUUGGAGGUGGAUAGAGCGAAGAUUGAUACAAUUGAGAAACUGCCUCCUCCUUCAUCUGUAAAAGGCAUUCGGAGUUUCUUGGGACAUGCAGGGUUCUAUAGACGCUUUAUUAAAGAUUUUUCAAAAAUCUCGAAACCCCUAUGCUCACUCUUGGAGAAAGAUGUACCGUUUAAGAUGGAUCAUGCAUGCAUCGAGGCAUUUGAGGUAUUAAAGAAGAAAUUGGUCUCUGCACCAGUCAUUGUAGCGCCCGAUUGGUCUUUACCGUUUGAAUUGAUGUGCGACGCCAGUGAUUACGCGGUGGGAGCCGUAUUGGGACAACGUCAUGAUAAGAUUUUUCAUACUAUCUAUUACUCUAGUAAGACAUUGACGGAUGCCCAGCUGAACUACACAACAACCGAAAAGGAAUUACUUGCAGUGGUGUUUGCUUUUGACAAAUUCAGAGCUUAUCUCCUCGGCACUAAGGUAAUUGUCUACACUGAUCAUUCAGCUAUUAAAUAUCUGAUUGAGAAGAAAGAUGCUAAACCACGAUUAAUACGGUGGGUACUGUUGUUACAAGAAUUUGAUCUGGAGAUCCGGGACAGAAAAGGUACAGAAAAUCAAGUGGCGGAUCAUCUGUCUCGGUUGGAAAAUAAAAAGGAACAGAAAGAAGACAACUCAGUGAUUAAUGAAGAAUUUCCGGAUGAGCAACUGUUCCGGGUAACUACCAUAUUGCCUUGGUAUGCUGACUAUGUCAACUAUGUGGUUGCCAAGGUGUUACCGCCGGAUUUGACAUCACAACAACGGAAGAAGUUUCUCCACGAUGCGAAACAAUACUUUUGGGAUGAACCAUUUCUGUUUAAAGCAUGUGCAGAUCAAAUGAUAAGACGUUGUGUACCUCACGAAGAAAUGGAUAGUAUAUUAGGCCACUGUCACUCCUCAGAUUACGGAGGUCAUUAUUCCAGUGAUCGUACAGCAGCCAAAGUACUACAAUCGGGAUUCUUCUGGCCCUCUUUAUUCAAAGAUGCUUAUCUCUUUGUGCUAAAAUGCGAUCGAUGCCAACGCGUAGGUAAUAUCUCCAAGCGCAAUGAAAUGCCACUUAACACAAUUUUAGAGGUGGAACUAUUCGACGUGUGGGGUAUCGACUUUAUGGGACCAUUCCCAUCUUCGCUGAAUAAUCGUUAUAUCUUAUUAGCAGUCGAUUAUGUUUCCAAAUGGGUAGAAGCCGCAGCGUUACCCACGAAUGAUGCCAACGUUGUCACCCGAUUUUUAAAGAAAAACAUUUUUACCAGAUUUGGGACACCAAGGGCUAUAAUAAGUGAUGAGGGAACGCACUUCUGUAACAAGCAGUUCACUAAAUUGCUUGUAAAAUAUGGAGUUCGUCACAAAAUUGCAGCUGCAUAUCACCCACAAACCAAUGGCCAAGCAGAGGUGUCGAAUCGGGAAAUUAAGAGGAUCCUGGAAAAAGUAGUCAAUCCGUCACGAAAAGAUUGGGCGUUGCGUCUUGACGACGCUCUAUGGGCUUAUCGAACAGCGUACAAAAACCCGAUCGGCAUGUCCCCGUACAGAAUGGUCUUUGGAAAGGCGUGUCAUCUUCCGGUCGAGCUAGAACACAGUGCACACUGGGCCAUUCGGAAAUUAAACUUUGAUCUAGAAGCAGCAGGUGAAAAACGGUUACUGCAGUUGAACGAGAUGGAUGAAUUCAGGUUCAACGCCUACGAAAACGCUAAGCUAUACAAGGAGAAAGUCAAAUCUUGGCACGAUAAAAAAAUUCUCGAUAGAACAUUCGCACCGGGCCAUCAAGUACUACUGUUCAACUCACGCUUGCGUCUAUUUCCAGGAAAAUUGAAAUCCAGGUGGUCUGGACCAUUUGUAGUCAUAUCUGUCACUCCACACGGAAACAUUGAGGUUGAGGAACCGAAUUCAAAGCGUACAUUCAAGGUCAACGGUCAACGUCUGAAACACUAUUGGAGCGGACCAAUCGAACGCCAAGCUACGGUCCAGUACCUCUCAGACCCAGUGGACAACUGACCAACACCGCAAAGUCGGGCUGACGACUGUAAACCAAGCGCUUCUUGGGAGGCAACCCAUGCAGUUCCAUAACUUUUUCGUUUUAUUUGAUUUUAUGCCUCUUAGAGUUAAACUUUUCUUAUUUUCACUGUUAUUCUGUAGUAGAGAAGACUCCAAGUUUACUAAACUAAUUCCUACACUGGUCCAGGUAUGCACGUACACAGGUGAAUUCCCAGCGCCCCGGCGCCCACAUCACUAAGGAUCACAGCGCCCCGGCGCUAGGCUCCAGAAAGUGAAAACAAGGCCCAGCGCCCCGGCGCUGGAUUCUAGUUCAAUCACAGCGCCCCGGCGCUAGGCUCCAGAAACUGAAAACAAGGCCCAGCGCCCCGGCGCUGUCUUCCAGUUCAAACCCAGCGCCCCGGCGCUGGGGCAUCCCAAUCGAUUCUGCUGCCCAGCGCCCCGGCGCUCCCUGCAAGUUAUAACCCAGCGCCCCGGCGCUGGGGUCAGGUUAGACCUUGUACUUUAAAACCUUGCCGUGCCCUUCUACCCCAAAUUCCUUCCACACGCCGGCACAGCAGGUCAGUCACCCUCUCUCCAUCUUCAUAGCACAAAGUCAUUAAACUUUGGAUAAUUGUCUUCCACUCAUCCACCACGCAUCAAUCCCUUCCUUUCAUAUUGGUCGUCUGCAUCUUGUGUGCCGAAUUCUACUCCUCCAACUUCUUUAGAAGUAACAAAGGUAUGAUUUGAUGUGUUUUUCAAUUAUUGCGAAUUAAGAUGCUCUUCAUUCGUUAUUCUUGUCAUCUGGAAAUCUAAUGGAGCAUAUAGAUAACGCAUUGAUGUGUGACGUACUCCUACACACGAGAUUCAUGCACGCUACAUGCAUGGCAUGAAUAGACAGGGAAUUAAUAAUGGAUUGAACAAGUUCUCAGUUGCUAUCUAGGUGUUUGACAAAUUGUCUGACUCAAUAAUCCUGUGUAACUUACAUACUCGCCAGUUUCAUGCCUCACCCCCACCUGCGUUCUCACACUACCAGUAUUUUAUACAAUUUCUAUGUACUGCUAGGCGCACAUUUAUCCAACCGUACAUUCUUUUAAAGCUAAACUAUGAAUAUGUUUUAUUUGCAGAAUUCUCGACAUGGCAUCCAAACGUCAUCGCAGCUCAGGGUCCGGGGCCGCUUCAACUUCCCCGCCAAAAUUUGACAGCAGGCGUUUUGUUAGUGUUGCGGCUCAAGAACGCUACAGCCGCAUGGCCACCCGCUCACUAGUCCCCGAACGGGGUCUCCGUCCCGAUCAAAACAAGGAUGGAGACAUAGCAGUGAUGAUUGCUGAGCGUAACUGGUUCGUCCUCACCGAACAGCCUGACAUAGCAGUGAUUGCAGUGGUCAAAGAAUUCUAUGCCAACUUGCCUGAGCAUGACCAUUAUGGGGUGUUUGUCAGAGGUAAGACCGUGGAAUUUGGCGAGGAGGAUAUCAAUGGGUGCUAUCAACUACCCUUAGAGGGCCUUCAUGAUGAAUAUGCUCGCCUAGUGAGUGAUGGGCCGGACUAUGAAAAGAUUAUUCGGGAGCUGUGUCAACCGGGCACUACUUGGUCCAUCCAUGAGCGUGGCAGCAUGACCUUCCCAUUGUCUCACCUCAGUCUAUAUGGAAAGGCAUGGUAUGCCUUCAUAUGCGCGAAAUUGAUGCCCUGCACACAUGUGAGUCACGUCACCAAAGAAAGGGCUGUGCUAUUAUACUCCAUCAUACAAGGCCUACGAAUCGAUGUCGGCCAUCUUAUUCAGCAAUCGAUGCUCCGCGCAUCUCGCGGCGGGACCACAGGAGGGUUACCACAUCCGUCCCUGAUCUGCGUCUUAUGUGCUAAGUUUGGGGUCAAAUGGAAAUCAGACGAGAUGAUUCAAACUCCUAUGCCCGUGUUGGACCACAACUUGAUCCGUCGUUAUAAAGUGUGGUCCGGUGGCGCUAAUCACCCUAGGGGACUGGGUUUCAUUAUCCCCCACGUUACGUCUCCACGAGCCCCACCACCUCAGGCUCCCCCUCCUUACGGCCCCUCGACAGCUGCUCAUCGAGGUGUGGUCCCCGAAGCUGUCCAGCGGGAGAUAGACGGCUGGUUUUACAACAUUGAGUCCCAGAAUGUGCGCUUAUCGGAACGUCAAGACGUGAUUUUCAAGUAUUUAGUUGACCAAUUUGCUGCACAGAAUGCACUGACCAUCCAGACCCAUCCGGGCAUUCCACUUAGCCAUUUCCCUACGGCUCCCGUUCUGCCAGUAUUUCCCCCUUCCGAUCAAGAGAUGAGCGAGGACGAUGAUGCUCCCCCAGAAGAAUAAGAUCGUCAGGGAAGUCCUCUGUUUUAUUUUGACUUAUUUUUCGCAUGCGGACAUUGCUCUAGCUUAGUUUGGGGGUGGUUACGUUUUAUUUUUAACAGUUGUAGUUUGUUAUUAGUUUGUGGAUUGAUUAUUAGUAAAGUUGCAUUUAGGAUUGCAUGUUAAUUCCAGUUUUUGAUAGUGCGUAUAUCUGGGGCCAAUGAUGAAAGUAGAAUUGCAUGAACAAGUCUAGUAAGGAUUGUUGAUUCAGUGAUAUGAUUUUCGUGACUUGAAUUGGAUCUUUAUCUGUUUGACAUUGAUAUUAUAGGAAGGCACUUUGAAAUAAAACGACCAUGUUGGCUAUGAUAGUUUAAAUGGUUAGAUAAUAGAGUUCUAAAGGAGGAUUGCUAGUGAUAUGGAAGAACAAUUUGAAUAACUAGAGGAGACUGAAUUCAUGCAUAAACUCGAGUUUGGGGGAAAACAUUUGGAAUAUAAAAAAAAAAAAAAAAAUGUUGAGUCUUGUGGUGGGUUGAGGGGAACCACUCCCCAUAAACACAAGCGUGAGAUGGAGCGUAAAACGCACUCACCAACCAUCUAUAAAAAAAAAAAAAAAAAAAAAUAAUGAUAAUAUACAGGGUGACUAGUCUUGUUUCGGGGCCUGUGUUACUUGAGCAAGUACGCCCGAAGGGGUAUCUUAAAACCUAGCGCCCUAAGGUCUUAUAUGGUCUGGGAGUCGUUGGUCGAAAGCUCGCUAAGGGGUAACACUGUUAGCCUAAUGGGAUGAGACAUUGCACAGUCAUUUAUGUAGAGCUAAAAAAAAAAGGAAAAAGAAAAGAAAAGCAUAAGUAUUCCAUUUUGACUUUUGAAUUCGGGUAAGUGUUUGAGUUCAGUUGAAACAAGUAUAUUUGAUGAGUUCUCAAGUUCACACUGUAUGAUGCUUACUAAGAAAGUUAUUAUCUUUCAUAUUUUUGUCUUUCAUGGGUUAGCAUGGUCGUGGACACACACGCACAAUAUCAGUAAUAACAGAUUUAGAUCCGUUGAUUGUUGGGAUAUUGUUGAUCUGUUUUUGCAUGAUGAAUUAGCAUGUUUACGUGAUUUUCUGAGGCAUAUGGAUCUACGUGAGCUCUUGAAUUGCUGGAAUUACGAACAUAUAAAUAUAAAUAGUUUGCAUGUGCAUGAUGUUUAGUUUUGUUUUGUGAUCUUAUGUUUUGUCGCAUGAGGACACGCAACGAUUUAAGUUUGGGGGUAUUUGAUGAAUGGGUAGUAUACCCAUAAAUUGGAUAUAUUUAGACUUAAAUUAUUGCAUUCUUAAGUUAUUUAGUAGCAUUUUUAUUGUGUUUAUAUCUUGUUUUGCAGAUUUGGAAGCUGAAGGGACAAUUAUGGAAAAUUCAAGCAUUUAAUGGCAAUCUGGUAAUUUUAGAGAAGUCCAGCGCCGGGGCGCUGGAAAUUGCACUACCUACAGCGUCGGGGCGCUGAGCCUCGGCUGGCCCUGACUGGAUUAGCGCGUUUGACUUCUGGUUGGACUUGACUUGUCUAUGGGGGGGCUAAUGUAAAACCUAAUUGGAUGAGGAUUGGGGGAGGCUAUAAAAAGAAACUAAGUGCUGAAAUAAAGGGGGGAAUUUUUUAUUAUUCUUCGGAGGAUUCAACGAGUUCUUCCAUUGAAGGUUACACAAGAUUACUUGGAGAUUAAGGAUUGGCUACAGAGUUUCUUCUUUUUCUCCUUAUUUUCAAUUUGUAAUUCUUUAAGGAUGAUUUGUCAACAAUUAAUGGUUCUUAUUUCCGUGAUGAACUAAUUCUUUAAUUAAGAUUUCAAUUGAACCUUUUAUGAUUAUAAAUUAGUUAUUCUCUCAUUCUAAUUAUUUAUGUUGAAGUGGAUUGUUUAUCAUGUUUUGAUUCUAUUGAUUAAUUAUUUGGCCAAUAAUUACCGUGUUACUCUAGAAGGAAUUGGGAAAGGAAUUCUAGGGUUAGAACUAGACAUGAUAACAUGUGACUUAGUUAUUUGCACGGUAAAUAAUUAGGUUUGUGAAUUGAAUGGAAAUAUCUGUUCACCGCAUGUAACAUAUAAGGAAUUGGGAUUGGAAAGAGUUUAAUUCAAUUGUUUUGCAUAGGAAUAUAGCAAGAUUAAUCUGGAUUAAAUAGAAGUCAAUUGAUCACUUGGAAGAGGGCUUUUGGCAUUUGAGAAUUCCUGUUAACAAUUCAGUAGACAUAAUAAUUGGGAUGAUUAGAUAAUUGAUUUAUAGUUCAUAAUUGGGGAUAUUGAAGUCUUAAUAUUUACCUAUCGGAAGUCAUUCACUCAAGUAUUAGCUUAGUUAUUCGCUUAUCUUAGUACAAUAUCUUUAAGUGUUUAAUUUUGAGUUAAUAAUUCAGAAAAUCACAAUUUAUCAUUGUUUGAAUAAAAUUGAAUUGAUAUAGUAUUAGUAGUUGGGAUUUAUUAAUUAGAAUUCCCUGUGGGAACGAUACUCAACUUAUCACUUUAUUACUUGUUGACCGCGUAUACUUGCGUGUUGUGUGUAACUAGAUUUUACUCAACAAGUUUUGUAUUUGACUAAAAUAAAUUAUAAAUUAAAAUAAUAUAUAAAUAUUACUAAAAUAAGAAGAAAAACAAUAUUUAUAUUUGGUCAAACUUAUUUAUUUUAAAAUAAUUUACAAGUUAUUUUUUAAUAAAUCAAAAUUUAUUACUUAUCAAAACUAACUUAUAAGUUAAAAAAUAAGUUUCUUUCAACAAUAAAAAAUCAACACCAUAUAUACAUGUAUGUUAGAAUGCAAUCAUGCAUGCAUGUGAUUCCCUAUGAUGGGAACUUUUAUUCCCCAACCCGUGAACUCCCCCUUCUUUAUUUCUCCCGUGAUUCCCCUUUCCUUCCUUCCCUUCUUCUGAGUUUUUUGCCUAUAAAAGGAAAUCCUACUGAAUGAAAUAAGAAGAAAAACUUCUCUAAAGAAUAAUUCUCUGAAGAAUUUCUCAACCCUCUUUUCUCUUGCUUAUUCUCUCUAAAUUUAUGCAGCAAUUAUAAGAGUAUAUUUAUACACUUCGCUAAAAAGAUUCUCAGUCGUUUUCAUAUGGAAAAAGCUCAUCCUUUGACUACCCCGAUGGUUGUUCGAUCUUUAGAAGUUGAUAAAGAUCCAUUUCGACCUCUAGAAAGUGGGGAAGAAGUUCUUGGACCUGAAGUUCCAUACCUAAGUGCAAUAGGUGCUCUUAUGUAUCUUGCAAACUGUACACGACCUGAUAUUACUUUUGCUGUUAACUUGUUAGCAAGAUACAGUUCUUCUCCUACUAAGAGACAUUGGGAUGGGAUUAAACACAUUUUGAGAUACCUUCGUGGAAGUAUUGAUCUUGGGUUAUUUUAUCCAAGAAAUUCAACUUCGCAAUUGGUUGGGUAUGCCGAUGCAGGAUAUUUAUCAGAUCCACACAAUGGAAGGUCACAAACAGGUUAUGUAUUUACAUAUUGUGACACGGCUAUCUCCUGGAAAUCCACAAAGCAAACCAUGACAGCUACAUCUUCAAAUCACUCAGAGAUUCUCGCUAUACAUGAAGCAAGCAGAGAGUGUGUUUGGUUGAGAUCAAUUAUUCAGCAUAUUCAAAAGUCAUGUGGAUUACCAUCAAUCAAAGACAUUCCUACAAUUCUGUAUGAGGAUAACGCUGCAUGCAUUGCUCAACUUAGAGGAGGGUACAUCAAGGGAGAUAGAACAAAGCACAUUUCACCUAAAUUCUUCUUCACACAUGAGCUACAAAAGAAGGGUGAUAUAGAUGUGCAUCAAAUUCGAUCAUGUGAUAAUCUAGCUGACUUAUUCACAAAGUCGCUACCAAAUGCAACGUUUGCAAAACUUCGGAAAAGGAUUGGAAUGUGUCGACUGAAAUAUUUAUGACAACAUCUCAUCAAGAAGUAAUGAAAUCCUUUUGAGGGGAAGACUGUACUCUUUUUCCUUAGUCACGGUUUUUAUCCCAAUGGGUUUUUCCUGACAAGGUUUUAACGAGGCAGUCAAUUAAGAUAUUUAUGUAAAAGAUAUGUACUCUUUUUUUUUCAUUAAGUUUUUCCCACUGGGUUUUCUUAACAAGGUUUUUAAUGAGACAUAAUCUUCUAUCGUAGGGAAUCAGGGGAAGUGUUAGAAUGCAAUCAUGCAUGCAUGUGAUUCCCUAUGAUGGGAACUUUUAUUCCCCAACCCGUGAACUCCCCCUUCUCUAUUUCUCCCGUGAUUCCCCUUUCCUUCCUUCCCUUCUUCUGAGUUUUUUGCCUAUAAAAGGAAAUCCUACUGAAUGAAAUAAGAAGAAAAACUUCUCUGAAGAAUAAUUCUCUGAAGAAUUUCUCAACCUUCUUUUCUCUUGCUUAUUCUCUCUAAAUUUAUGCAACAAUUAUAAGAGUAUAUUUAUACACUUCGCUAAAGUUUUAUAACAAUGUAUAAGUAGAUUGAAGUGAAAUAUUUUUUUUUCUUUUGAAUGUCUUAAUCAAGCUAUCUAUAUAUUAAUAGAAGUAAAAUAAGUUAUACCAAUAAAUCAAGUACUCAAUCGUGUGAUAUAUCAUUUUUGAGUGUAAUUUAUAGUCACAAUUGUAAGAAUUAUUAGUCUUCCAACACAUCUCUCACUGUUCAAAGUUUGAUCUAAUGGCCAGGUAUUCUUCAGUCCGCAGUAGAGACACCAAAAUUAAUGAUUAGCCCAUCAAUUCGUCCAAUAACCUAUGAUUUAAUAGGUAAAGUUAUUCAUUUAUUUUAACUAGUCUUAAUUGGAUUGAGUUAAAUACAUAAUAAAAUAAAUAAAUGGGUUAAUGGGUAAAAUCGUGGGUUAGAUGGGUAAAAAACAAAUAUUAUCCAUCAAUUGUGUGAAGAGCUUGCCAUAGAACUGACGAGAUGUUCAAGAGAUAGAAAUAAAGCUACGUCUGGGACUGAUCAUUCGGUUAUAACCGAAUCGAAUAAAUUAUUCAAUUAUAAUUAAAAAUCGAAAUUUGUACAAUUUUGUUAUCAGAACAAAUAAUCGAAUUACCCAAUAACUGAAUUACCGAAUUUAUUAUUAGUUGUUCGGGUAAUAACCGAAAUUAAGAAAUAUAUUUCUAAUUUCUUGAACAAAACAAAACUCAUUACAAAUACAGAAAUACAGGUUCAAAUGGAGGAAAAAACUUGAAAUCAAAAGCAAAGAAAUGCAUCAGCAAAUUAUAAUUGAUAAAAACUUAAAACAAACAGAAUCCCCAAUCCCAAAACAGAGAUGAGCUAAAUAUAAUUGAUAAAAACAUAGAACAAACAGAAUCCCCAAUCCAUAUGACAGAUGACAGAUGACAGAUCGGUACAAUUAAGCAACUAAGAUGACGAUUGGUACAAUAAAGCAACUAAGCAAGAGUAAAAAUCGGAAACAAACUCAGAUGACAAAUCGGUAGAUCUAAAGCAAAACAUAAACCAUAAACCAUAAUUCCAUAUUGACAAGCGCUGCGAAGAUAGACUGUAAUAAUUAAAACCCUAUUCGCCAGAGAGAAGGUAUUCGCCAGAGACUGUAGUUUAUGGGUUGGGGGGGCGUCCGGUGAUAUUGACCGGUACUAACGUCCGAUUCCUUUGUUUUGGUUUUUUNNNNNNNNNNNNNNNNNNNNNNNNNNNNNNNNNNNNNNNNNNNNNNNNNNNNNNNNNNNNNNNNNNNNNNNNNNNNNNNNNNNNNNNNNNNNNNNNNNNNUUUUUACGACAAUUAUAAGAAUAAAAAAUAAAAAAUAAUAGAGCAAGUUUUAAUAAAAAAACUAUAAAAGAAAGUAUAUUUUUUAUUGAAAAAACACAGUAAAAAAUAUAUUUUUUUUACAAUUUUUUUGUUAAAACUUGCUCUAUUAUUUUUUAUUUUUUAUUCUUAUAAUUGUGGUUUUUUUUUAAAAAAAAAAACAAACAAACAAAGAGACCGGACGUUAGUACCGGUCAAUAAGCACCGGACGCCCCCCCAAUUGGUAGUUUAUGGGUGUGCGUGAAUUUGUUAAUUACAAAAUUGAAGAAAAGAAGUAAAAACUGAUAUUAGUAGGAGUAGCAUAGUUACAGUAGUAGGUAGGUGUUUAGAGUGAUCAAACUUGGUUCUUGAAGGAUGAUGAUGGUUUGUCUCAGAGAAGGUGGAGGCGGAGACUGAUUUUAGUGAUUUGGCCUUUGGGGACUGGGUUGUCGAGAACUAACACUCUGUUUCUGAGUUUUAAAAUGGACAGAAAAGAAAAGAAAUGGACGAAAAAUUUAAGUUUUCUUUUCAAUUCUUAUGUUUCUGAGUUUUUUAAUAAACAAAAAAGAAAAGAAAUGGAUAAAAAACUUGGCCACUUUUCCUGCCAAAGUUUUCCGUCCAAAGUUGUCAUGAUUUGGAUGGAAAAGAAAUUAGAAUAAGUAAUAUUUUUAUAAUUCUCAUAUUAUCCUCAACUUAAUAUAAUAAAUUUUAAAUUACAACUCAUGUCCUCAAUUUUAAAUUUUCUAUCCUUUUCCAUUAAAAACUCAAAAACAACACAAAGAAAAACUUUAAGUUUUCUAUUCUUUUCUUUUCUGUUCUAAUUUAAGUUUUCUAUUCUUUUAUUUUCUGUUCAAAACUCAGAAACAGAGUGUAAGAGAGUAAGUUUGUGUAGUGUUUUACUUUUAGCUUAUAAGUUUUAAGUUUUAAUUUUUGUACAUCUUCUUCGGUUAUACAUCGAAUUAUCAAAUUUCAAUAUCCAAACCCGAAUCCAAAAACUGAAUAGUAAAAUGGAUAUAACCGAAAUACUUAAACUAACCGAAUAACCGUAAUAUUUCGGUUAAAAAAAUUCGAUUCAAUUCAAUGAUUCGAUUUUACUCGUUUUUUGCUAAGUCCUAGCUACAUCUGUGCAUACGAAGAGGAUUUAAGAGACAUGUUGUGGGUGGGACGGUGAGUUAUUUGUUGCGGGGGAAGCAAAGUUUGGUGUAUGGUGGGAACUACACGUGCUUCACUUAGAUGACAGGUUGGUGAAGUGUUUGGCUCACAAUUUUGAAACUCGGUCGGUCACUCUUUUAAUAUAUUUUGUAUCAAAAUUUUUAGAAUAUUAAAAUUAACCACUUUUAGUAAUAUUGUAAUUCAAAUUUAUUAUAUUUUAUAUCAUAAAAAUGAUUUUUUUUUUAAAAUUUUAUUAAUUACUAAUAAUAUAUAUUUAUGACGUUACCGGUUCAAUAACGCUUCAACUACUAGUUCAACGAGUGACCCAUUCACUAGAUAACUUUUUCGGUUCAAUAACUGGUCCGUAUCUGAAAAAAUUGAUUUGGCUAUUGAGGAUCAUGAUGAUCAUCAUGAGGACGGAAAGAAUCGACGGUGGAGAUUGUAUAGUGAGAGCUUGGAUAGGUUUUGUGAAGGUUUGGAGAUUAUAUGACAGCUGCUAAUGUGUUCUGUACACUUGGAAAUUACUUUAUGUUGUGUGGAAAAAAACUAAAAAAACUGUACUUUUGAAUUUUAUACAGAUUGAUGGAUUCAAUUCAUUUAUGGCUUAAAUAUGAAUUAGUACACUACCCUAAAUUAUAGGUCAUAUUCUACUUCGGUGAGCCACUUUUUAAUUUUAUCAAUUAGAUGAUUAAACUAUUAAUUUUUUCCAAUUGCAAAAAAUUGAACAUGCCACGUUAGAAAUUACUGACGUGACAACUUGUGUGGGGUAGAUCUGGCAAUAUAGUUGGUUAACUGUCGGGUCAACCCAUAUUAACUGGAACCAAAUGGAUUGGUUAACUGUUUUUAUUUAUUUGGGUAAGUUAAAGUUUGGAACCAUAUUUUUAAAAAGAAAUAUAGUUUCAACCCGGUUAACCAUUUUUCAACCCAUAUUUUAUUUCAAAUCCAAAUCAAAAAAAAAUUCACCCAUAAUAUUGUUUGUUUUGUAUUAAUUAUGAUACAAAAACAAACAAAAAAAGAGUUUUUUAAUCAUAGUAGUUUCACAAUUUGCGGGAAAGGAAAUUAGAGAAAGAAAAGAUAUUUAUUAGGGGGUAUGAAGUACAUUAGUAAUAAAAGAGUCAAUGUAGAUGUUAAUGCGAAUACCUAAAAUAAAAAAAGUAGAAAUUAAAAGGAGAGAGAGCAGUAAUGGGUGGAGGGAGUACCCGAAGUGAACAAGAAACCUGAUUUUACUUGAUAUCUGAGCUGAAAAGCAAGGGGAGGAAGCAUUGCGCCGCCAAAUCUGGUAAAAAAAAUUACAGAGAGAAAUAUUUGCAGAGAAGCUAGUUAGUAGAGAGAUAAAAGAAUGGUUUACUGAACUUGUUUCUGGGAAAAUGAAGAAGAUGUGAGAGAAUGUGUUUGUAGAGAGGAAUAGAGGAAGGGACAGGUAAAAGAGUCUCUCUUUCUCCCCCUUAAAUUCUCCUUUCCUUCCUCCUCCAGCAGCAGCUGCUGCUGAGAGAGAUGGAUUAUCUUCUGUAAUUUGAAGUCAUCUGGUAUUGCGUAGGCAGGGGAGCGGAUAAGCUUCAAGAGGAAGGGAGGGGUUGUUCAUAAGGCAAAAUUGCCCUUAUUGGCAGAAUUGUUCAAAAAACCAAACAAUUAAAUCCACCAUCAAUUGUUUGUUUUUUAA